RNAcentral lists this ribosomal RNA (459 nucleotides) under uncultured bacterium. RNAcentral's name for it is "SSU rRNA". It matches the Rfam family "Bacterial small subunit ribosomal RNA", at positions 26 to 518 of the family's 1533-position model. The record is from RNAcentral.
AGAAUCAACGCUGGCGGCGUGCCUAACACAUGCAAGUCGAACGAGAAAGUGGAGCAAUCCAUGAGUAAAGUGGCGACCGGGUGAGUAACACGUGACUAACCUACCUUUCAGUGGGGAAUAACCUCGGGAAACCGGGGCUAAUACCGCAUAAUGUCUUCGGACCAAAGGAGCAAUUCGCUGGAAGAGGGGGUCGCGGCCGAUUAGCUAGUUGGCGGGGUAACGGCCCACCAAGGCAAUGAUCGGUAGCCGGCCUGAGAGGGCGCACGGCCACACUGGAACUGAAACACGGUCCAGACUCCUACGGGAGGCAGCAGUGGGAAUUUUGCGCAAUGGGGGAAACCCUGACGCAGCAACGCCGCGUGGAGGAUGAAGCCCCUUGGGGUGUAAACUCCUUUCGAUCGGGACGAUUAUGACGGUACCGGAUGAAGAAGCACCGGCUAACUCUGCGCCAGCAGCCGC